RNAcentral lists this non-coding RNA (29 nucleotides) under Homo sapiens (human). Lineage: Eukaryota; Metazoa; Chordata; Mammalia; Primates; Hominidae. The record is from RNAcentral.
GAGAUGCCGAUGAGCUUCUGUAGCUGCCC